Molecule: ribosomal RNA, 411 nt
Filed under: Alysia lucicola
Lineage: Eukaryota; Metazoa; Arthropoda; Insecta; Hymenoptera; Braconidae
Description: eukaryotic LSU rRNA
Source: RNAcentral
CCUGAGAAACCCAAAAGAUCGAAUGGGGAGAUUCAUCGUCAGCUCAUUUUGUAUAUAUAUAAGUUAUGAUAUGGGUUACUACUUUGUUGUAGUAUUGCCUUUACAUUCUUUUAUAUUUAAUUGCAAUAUGUUGUCGGCGUGCACUUCUCCCCUAGUAGGACGUCGCGACCCGUUGAGUGUCGGUCUACGGCCCAAGUGGUAGCCUUUAAUUUUUUAAAUUAAAGACCCUUGGUGUUUUCUGGCUGACUACUCGGCGGUAUUCGUACGGUAUUAAGCCGCAUUUUAUUAUGCGUUCAUAUCCGUCGCAAGCGCGGUCAAUUUUUGGUAGUACGGACCUAGUGCCGUCGCCAUAAUUGAUCAGCUGUUGGUUGUACGGUAUUCUAGAACUGGCUUUUUCAUACCGGUCAACGA